CCUACGGGAGGCAGCAGUGAGGAAUAUUGGUCAAUGGACGCAAGUCUGAACCAGCCAUGCAGCGUGCAGGAAGACGGCUCUAUGGGUUGUAAACUGCUUUUGUACGAGGGUAAACUCAGAUACGCGUAUCUUUCUGCAAGUAUCGUACGAAUAAGGAUCGGCUAACUCCGUGCCAGCAGCCGCGGUAAUACGGAGGAUUCAAGCGUUAUCCGGAUUUAUUGGGUUUAAAGGGUGCGUAGGCGGUCGGAUAAGUUAGAGGUGAAAUACCGAGGCUCAACCUCGGAAUUGCCUCUGAUACUGGCAGGCUAGAGAGUAGUUGAGGUAGGCGGAAUGCAUGGUGUAGCGGUGAAAUGCUUAGAGAGCAUACAGAACACCGAUUGCGAAGGCAGCUUACCAAGCUACUUCUGACGUUGAGGCACGAAAGCGUGGGGAGCAAACAGGAUUAGAUACCCGAGUAGUC
Molecule: ribosomal RNA, 460 nt
Filed under: uncultured bacterium
Lineage: Bacteria
Description: partial 16S ribosomal RNA
Rfam family: Bacterial small subunit ribosomal RNA
Source: RNAcentral